AUACAUGCAGUCGAGCGAACUGAUGAGAAGCUUGCUUCUCUGAUGUUAGCGGCGGACGGGUGUAGUAACACGUGGGCAACCUGCCCUAUAGUUGGGGAUAACUCCGGGAAACCGGGGCUAAUACCGAAUGAUUCAUUUCAUCUCCUGAUGAAAUGCUGAAAGAUGGUUCUGCUAUCGCUAUAGGAUGGGCCCGCGGNNAUUAGCUAGUUGGUGAGGUAACGGCUCACCAAGGCGACGAUGCGUAGCNAACCUGAGAGGGUGAUCGGCCACACUGGGACUGAGACACGGCCCAGACUCCUACGGGAGGCAGCAGUAGGGAAUCUUCCACAAUGGGCG
This 336-nucleotide ribosomal RNA is filed under the name bacterium xpnta216lb9onnp9.24. RNAcentral's name for it is "bacterial SSU rRNA". It matches the Rfam family "Bacterial small subunit ribosomal RNA", at positions 51 to 377 of the family's 1533-position model. The record is from RNAcentral.